AAGUCAUGGCUCCAGGAAAAUGGAUAAGCUCUCGAAUAAUUGCAAAUUACUCACAUUUGUUUGCACCAUCAAUCAACUAGUAAUAAUGUGGAGUCUUAAUUAAAAAAUGAUGCUUCACAUGUCCUAUCUACUGCUAAUAAUGGAAGUUUGUCUAUAGGAGAAGCAUCCCCAAUAGCUGAUUCGCUAAGUUUAUCUCAUCUAUCAGCACCAGAGACUAAGACAACUAUCAUUGCUUCAAGUUCUAAUAAAAAAAGGAGUCUAAAUAGAUGUGUAGCAUUAGAGGAGCAUUACAAAAUAAAAGGUAAGAUAUCAAUAAUCAUUCCAGAGGGCUUGAAUAGGCCAGUUGGAGAGUAUCACUCAAAGUUGUCUAGAGAAGCGGGUAUUAUAAUUAGAAACUUUGCACCCAUGCAAGUCAAAAGAUGGGAACAAGUGAGUGAUGUUGAUAAAGAAUUACUUUUAAAAAAAUUGACGGUAAAGAUUAAUUUGUCCAUUGAAGAAUCACAUGUAAAGGAUUGUGUGAUGCACACGAUGAGCAAGAGAUUUUCUGAUUUUCGCUCAAAGGCUUAUGUACAUUAUAAAAAACAUGGAGGUGGAAUGUUAGCAAGACAAAAGCCUUACGAAGAACUUAUUGAGAGACCAUAUGAUUGGAUUUGGUUAUGUAAUUUUUU
Long non-coding RNA from Dendrobium catenatum, 668 nucleotides. RefSeq lists it as uncharacterized. The record is from RefSeq and is a predicted model, not a curated record. The transcript is spliced from 4 exons. Lineage: Eukaryota; Viridiplantae; Streptophyta; Magnoliopsida; Asparagales; Orchidaceae.